Molecule: long non-coding RNA, 873 nt
Organism: Panicum virgatum (switchgrass)
Lineage: Eukaryota; Viridiplantae; Streptophyta; Magnoliopsida; Poales; Poaceae
Exons: 6
Source: RefSeq, a predicted model, not a curated record
GACCCCGCCCGCUGCGCCGUCCACACGCCACGCGACCCCGCCCGCCGCGCCGUACGCGCCACCGGACGGACCAGGGCAGCACGCCUCCCUCCCCUCCGGCGCCCUCACCCUGCACCGCACCUCGACUUCUCCCGGCGGCUGCUCGUCCGUCGCCCGUUCCCUUUGCUCUUGGCAAGGACUGAUCGAUCGCAUCAUUAUUUGAGAAACAACAACUCAAAGUCCGAGAAAAGAAUUCCAUGGAGAAAAACUGUUCUCGCGCUCCAUUUGACGAUUUGACAAACCACAACAAUGGAGGGGCUGAGAGCGCACCCAAUUCACAGUCAACAAACAAUGAUAAUAAGCAACGUAAGCGAGAAAGGGAGAGAGCAAGGUAUGCAGCAAUGUCUCACGAGGAGAAGAAUGCAAGAAAUCUCAGACUGCGUGAAGCGCGUCAAAAAAAGAAAGAAGAUCAGAAUCUCAUGGAAACAAACUGUGUUCGUGCUCCAUUUGGCGAUUUGACAAACCACACUAAUGGAGGGGCUGAAAGUGCACACAAUUCACCAUCAGCAAACAAUGAUAAUAUGCGCCGUAAGCGAGAAAGGGAGAGGGCAAGGUAUGCAACAAAGUCACAAGAAGAGAAGAAUGCAAGAAAUCUGAGGCUGCGUGAAGCGCAUCGAAAAAAGAAAGGUGCUAGAUGCAUUCCGAAAUUGUGGUGUUAUAAAUACAUUAUCUGUAGUCUGGAUGGGUCAAGAUUUCAGGGUUUUUACAAAUUAGCUGGACGUUUUAAUACUUCUACCUGCUUUGUAAUAUUUUUCUCAUGUAUUUCUAUUUUGGUUUUAGAGUAUGUGUGCUUGUCAUGAUAUGAGUAAAAGAAUACGAGUUUCUUGCAUUCCA